This 467-nucleotide ribosomal RNA is filed under the name uncultured bacterium. Its description in RNAcentral is "partial 16S ribosomal RNA". It matches the Rfam family "Bacterial small subunit ribosomal RNA", at positions 28 to 506 of the family's 1533-position model. The record is from RNAcentral.
GACGAACGCUGGCGGCGUGCUUAACACAUGCAAGUCGAACGGAAAGGCCCUGCUUUUGUGGGGUGCUCGAGUGGCGAACGGGUGAGUAACACGUGAGUAACCUGCCCUUGACUUUGGGAUAACUUCAGGAAACUGGGGCUAAUACCGGAUAGGAGCUCCUGCUGCAUGGUGGGGGUUGGAAAGUUUCGGCGGUUGGGGAUGGACUCGCGGCUUAUCAGCUUGUUGGUGGGGUAGUGGCUUACCAAGGCUUUGACGGGUAGCCGGCCUGAGAGGGUGACCGGCCACAUUGGGGCUGAGAUACGGCCCAGACUCCUACGGGAGGCAGCAGUGGGGAAUAUGGCACAAUGGGCGGAAGCCUGAUGCAGCAACGCCGCGUGCGGGAUGACGGCCUUCGGGUGGUAAACCGCUUUCGCCUGUGACGAAGCGUGAGUGACGGUAAUGGGGAAAGAAGCACCGGCUAACUACGU